This is a long non-coding RNA of Lemur catta (Ring-tailed lemur), 651 nucleotides long. RefSeq lists it as uncharacterized. The transcript is spliced from 4 exons. NCBI's taxonomy places the organism in Eukaryota, Metazoa, Chordata, Mammalia, Primates, Lemuridae. The record is from RefSeq and is a predicted model, not a curated record.
CCCCCGUGUGCCCUCUGAACGGAGAGCUGUAUUUGCCUGCUGAACGCACAAUACCACAAUCAUGACGACAGAGACCAGUGUUUGCUUCAGAGAACCGACAGCUCCCACCCAUCUGUCACCUAGCAGGGCCGAGCCAGCUGCUUCUGUCGUCGUCCCCGAGGGCUCGAUGUUGGCUGUGUAAACACGGCAGCCCUUCCCACAACUCAAACACGCUCCGCCCUGCGAGACACGCGGGAGAACACGCCGAGCCCCGCGUGUUCCAGGCCCUGCGUGGCCUCCCUGGGGGACCCUGGGACCCUUCACUGAGCAUCUCUCGGACGACGCCUCACGCUCGAGUCCAUGCCGCGUUCAAUACCAGACGUAACCGGAACUACAUGGUAACCGCUCUUCCUGUUCCCGCCCCGGCUCUUCUGGGAUGUGGCAGCGCUGAGCCGGACAGGGAAGUCCAGGAGGCAUCUCUGCCCCUUGUGAAUCUGGGGUGCCAAACCAUAUAUGGAGGAAACAUAUUGCCCGGCUCUCUCUGGCGUCUUCCAAGAUUCAGUGAUAGAUUGGAAAAGGGGUAACUCACUUCCUCUUCCGGAAACAUGUAAGCCCUAGUCGCUUGCCAGGCCAAAAAGAUCCCCACAAUUAUGUAGCAAAAAGUCUUCUGAC